This is a long non-coding RNA of Mauremys reevesii (Reeves's turtle), 720 nucleotides long. RefSeq lists it as uncharacterized. The transcript is spliced from 3 exons. Lineage: Eukaryota; Metazoa; Chordata; Testudines; Geoemydidae. The record is from RefSeq and is a predicted model, not a curated record.
CUUUCAUUCUCCCUUCCUUGCCUUUCCUGGUGCCGUCUCCCUACGUAGGAUGCGGGAAAAGGGUGCUAGGUGUGCAUCCACACAGUCUGUCUUUGGGACCCAUGAAGACUUAGGAGGGUAUGAAAAUCAUGCAUAUUAGUGGGUGCCACAGUGGAGCAAUGUCUGUCGGUGUUGACUUGGUCUUUAAUCAUCGCCUGGGGCUGAUGUAGACCAAAUGAGAGAGGGAGGCAGAGAUUACGGCAAGAUUUCACAUACCUUCAGAGCUUUGUGUAAUGCUGACUCACCCUUGGCUUUUGCAACUGCACUGCAGAGGAAUUGUCCAGGAGCGCUGUCUGGAGGAGAGACUCUCAAAAGUGGACCUGAACAUCCUUCUAAGCAGACGUGAACAGUCCUCAGCUUUCCUGCCUCCUGCAUAACUGGCUUACCAAGGGAAAAGAAGUCACGUAUCAGUCUACUGUCCUCAUGCGAAGGAAAGCGAGACCGACGAGACCGCGAUCAUUGUCGAAAUCAGGCAUUAGCUGUACAUCUGGGAGCGGAGCAGUCACCGCUGUCAGUGAGAUAAAUGUCUGGUUUGGUGAGGGAUCUGCUCAUGGCCCACCUGGCUCCAGAGGAAUCAUCCAGGAGCCCUCACCGGACGAGAAUAUGCAGAAGUGGACCUCAGCAGCCUGGACAUCUUUCUAAGGAGACAUGAAUAUUCCUCAUCUUUCUGCCUUUUGCAUA